Long non-coding RNA from Styela clava, 1120 nucleotides. RefSeq lists it as uncharacterized. NCBI's taxonomy places the organism in Eukaryota, Metazoa, Chordata, Ascidiacea, Stolidobranchia, Styelidae. The record is from RefSeq and is a predicted model, not a curated record.
UUUUGAGUGUUAAAUGAUGAUUCUAGUUUUUGUAGUCUUAUAUUUUCAUAUUACACGUUUUUACUUUGCAUGUGUUCUUUUUUUAUUUUGCUCGAGCACAUAGUUUCUGAUUUAUAGCAAAAUUAAUGACGUUUGUUCGGCCAUUCUGUCGCUUUUUGAUGUAUUGUGAGCUGCUGCGCUUCCCCGAACUUCUAUUCCUCAGCUGUCGCAAAAAACGACAGUUUUGCUUUCACGGAGUCGUGCUUGUUCGACACUAAUUUGUGAGAAAUAAGACGUCGCUGGAAGGCUAUUAGUAGAUUUGCAAAUAUUUGGGAUCUUACGGGCCCGUUAUUCCACCCCAAAAUUUGUUAUAUUUUACAAUUCACUGAUAGAACUUUUUUCCUGUAUGAUAAUCUGUAGAAUGAUUCAAAAUUUGGUUGCAGUUGCAAUUCUCAUAUUAGUCAUGAUCUCCGUGCCCACAUUUAAUUUGAACUGUAACUCUGUAUAAUCGCCCUUUUUAGCGGCCCCUAAUAAACUAAGGAGAGGGGUCAUAACUAUUACUCUAAAUUACAGCCUUAAAGGCGAAGAAAGGAGUGAAAAAAAACUUAUCAAAUUAUGAGAUUGACCCGAUUGGUGGUCAGGUGACGUAAAUAGAAAGGGCUUUGCGAAGAUAGAAGAUAUUGUAACUGCUGGUGGUCGAGGGAAGACUGAUGGAUGUAAAUUGAUAGGAGACAACUCUCCCCGGCACAACUAUGACCACAUUUUCAUCAGAACAAUAUAACCGAAAGUAUACAUCCACGAAGAAAAAUGAAAUUAAUCUUUGAAGACAAUUAAACGAACCGUCGUGUAAGCAGAUGAAACUGUUAUAUCAAAAUUUGCAAAUAAAUUUGCAAAUACAAACUGUACUGAGUGUUUUUGAAUCGACCAUUCUUUCAUUCACCCAGUUAAUUCUUUGAUUCUGCACAUCACAUCGUUAAACAUGAUGUAGAAGUCCCAAAGUUUGUUAUACAAAUUCUGAAAUACAUCCACCCAAAAUAGAACCCUGAAGCUGAAAUUUAGACGGCCUCUCGUGAUAGAAGAAAUUUUUACGACUCCAAAGUAGUGUAUAUCAUAUAUAUCAUUGUCAUAAUUCUAUGUUAAA